This 793-nucleotide ribosomal RNA is filed under the name Methanosaeta sp. enrichment culture clone A1498. Its description in RNAcentral is "bacterial SSU rRNA". It matches the Rfam family "Archaeal small subunit ribosomal RNA", at positions 85 to 879 of the family's 1478-position model. Lineage: Archaea; Methanobacteriati; Methanobacteriota; Methanomicrobia; Methanotrichales; Methanotrichaceae. The record is from RNAcentral.
ACUGCUCAGUAACACGUGGACAAUCUGCCCUUAGGCUGGGUAUAAACCCGGGAAACUGGGUAUAAUACCCGAUAGGUCUCGAUUGCUGGAAUGCAUCGAGAUUUAAAGCUCCGGCGCCUAAGGAUGGGUCUGCGGCCUAUCAGGUAGUAGUGGGUGUAGCGUACCUACUAGCCUACGACGGGUACGGGUUGUGAGAGCAAGAGCCCGGAGAUGGAUUCUGAGACACGAAUCCAGGCCCUACGGGGUGCAGCAGGCGCGAAAACUUUACAAUGCUGGCAACAGCGAUAAGGGAACCUCGAGUGCCAGGUUACAAAUCUGGCUGUCGAGAUGCCUAAAAAGCAUUUCAUAGCAAGGGCCGGGCAAGACCGGUGCCAGCCGCCGCGGUAACACCGGCGGCUCGAGUGGUAACCGUUAUUAUUGGGUCUAAAGGGUCUGUAGCCGGCCGGAUAAGUCUCUUGAGAAAUCUGGCAGCUUAACUGUCAGGCUUUCAGGAGAUACUGUCUGGCUCGAGGCCGGGAGAGGUGAGAGGUACUUCAGGGGUAGGGGUGAAAUCUUGUAAUCCUUGAAGGACCACCAGUGGCGAAGGCGUCUCACCAGAACGGACCUGACGGCAAGGGACGAAAGCUAGGGGCACGAACCGGAUUAGAUACCCGGGUAGUCCUAGCCGUAAACGAUACUCGCUAGGUGUCGGCCACGGUGCGACCGUUGUCGGUGCCGUAGGGAAGCCGUGAAGCGAGCCACCUGGGAAGUACGGCCGCAAGGCUGAAACUUAAAGGAAUUGGCGGGGGAGCAC